GACGAACGCUGGCGGCGUGCCUAAUACAUGCAAGUAGAACGCUGAAGGAGGAGCUUGCUCUUCUGGAUGAGUUGCGAACGGGUGAGUAACGCGUAGGUAACCUGCCUGGUAGCGGGGGAUAACUAUUGGAAACGAUAGCUAAUACCGCAUAAAAUUGAUUAUUGCAUGAUAGUCAAUUAAAAGGUGCAAUUGCAUCACUACCAGAUGGACCUGCGUUGUAUUAGCUAGUUGGUGAGGUAACGGCUCACCAAGGCAACGAUACAUAGCCGACCUGAGAGGGUGAUCGGCCACACUGGGACUGAGACACGGCCCAGACUCCUACGGGAGGCAGCAGUAGGGAAUCUUCGGCAAUGGACGGAAGUCUGACCGAGCAACGCCGCGUGAGUGAAGAAGGUUUUCGGAUCGUAAAGCUCUGUUGUAAGAGAAGAACGAGUGUGAGAGUGGAAAGUUCACACUGUGACGGUAUCUUACCAGAAAGGGACGGCUAACUACGU
This 494-nucleotide ribosomal RNA is filed under the name uncultured bacterium. Its description in RNAcentral is "partial 16S ribosomal RNA". It matches the Rfam family "Bacterial small subunit ribosomal RNA", at positions 28 to 506 of the family's 1533-position model. The record is from RNAcentral.